GGCAGACAUCGGAGGCGAUCGACUAUCGCAGGGACCCAGUUGCUGGAGCUCGUCCGGAAUCCAUCCACUGGAGAAGUUCGGGCGGGCUUCAGUUCUCGUGAGAGGUCGAAAAGGGGCUGUUUAUUGUAGGAGCUCGGGCGAGGACCAGUUGUCGUGGAAGCUCGGAGUAGUGUCCCGCUGUAUAAGUUCGUCCAGAGCCCACUCGCUACGGGAUAGCUCGGUUGAAGUCUACCUGUAGUA
Molecule: long non-coding RNA, 240 nt
Filed under: Elaeis guineensis (African oil palm)
Lineage: Eukaryota; Viridiplantae; Streptophyta; Magnoliopsida; Arecales; Arecaceae
Description: long non-coding RNA (EGUI_LNC070780)
Source: RNAcentral